GAACAACCAAAAUGGCAGCCUCCUUAGUACAACAUGUGGCAAAGAUUAGGUGAAUUUCAUUUUAAUUCUCUCGUGAAAUUAUAAGUAUUUAUUGAUAAACGAUUAAUCUCAUUACCUAUAGCAUGAGCCAAAAUAUACUGGAAUAAUAUAAGUAAAAUGUAAUAACUAAAUAAGAUAAAUUAGAGACCUACUUCAAAUUUCCAACAACUUUCUCAAUGGGGUAAGCUCUGUUUUGAAUAGAGAUGUUAAACAGUUUGGUAAGCAGUACCUGACAGAUGGAAAUGAUGACACCUGCUGGAAUUCUGACCAGGGUUCACCUCAGUGGAUAUCUGUGAUUUUUUCAAAACCUGUGAAAAUAGAAAAACUUCAACUUCAGUUCCAGGGUGGAUUCGUUGGAAAGGACUGCUGGAUUGAAGCAAGUGUAAACAAAGAUGAAAAACUUCAGAAAAUUCAGGACAUCUUUCUAGAAGACACAAAUAUGUUACAAACAUUCAACUUACAGCAGGUUGUAGAAACAAGUAAUAUGAAAAUUGUAUUUAAUACAAGCACAGAUUUGUUUGGUAGAGUUAUUGUUUAUAAACUUGAAAUAUUGGGUGAAAGUUAACAUUUUGUUAAUUGAAUAUUUUAAUAAAGAUUUACGUUUACCAUACAGUGUAAUGUGAAUACAUAGAAUACCUUUUAUUCAAUACAAAUUCUAUGCUCAGUUAGUCACUAGCUAUUGCUUUUUUCCGUUUUUGAUCACAAGAGUCAGUGA
This is an RNA transcript of Limulus polyphemus (Atlantic horseshoe crab), 754 nucleotides long. It is a transcript of the gene named nuclear receptor 2C2-associated protein-like, with no coding region annotated. The transcript has 4 exons. The record is from RefSeq and is a predicted model, not a curated record. NCBI's taxonomy places the organism in Eukaryota, Metazoa, Arthropoda, Merostomata, Xiphosura, Limulidae.